This 301-nucleotide ribosomal RNA is filed under the name uncultured bacterium. RNAcentral's name for it is "partial 16S ribosomal RNA". It matches the Rfam family "Bacterial small subunit ribosomal RNA", at positions 509 to 807 of the family's 1533-position model. The record is from RNAcentral.
CAGUCGCCGCGGUAAUACGGAGGGUGCAAGCGUUAAUCGGAAUUACUGGGCGUAAAGCGUGCGUAGGCGGUUCGUUAAGUCUGUUGUGAAAGCCCCGGGCUCAACCUGGGAAUGGCAAUGGAUACUGGCGAGCUAGAGUGUGUCAGAGGAUGGUGGAAUUCCCGGUGUAGCGGCGAAAUGCGUAGAGAUCGGGAGGAACAUCAGUGGCGAAGGCGGCCAUCUGGGACAACACUGACGCUGAGGCACGAAAGCGUGGGGAGCAAACAGGAUUAGAUACCCGCGUAGUCCCUGUCUCUUAUAC